GUGAUUAUAUUUAUCCCAAAUUAAGAAAUAGUCGCAGUUUUUGUUCUUGUAAGAAAUUUUCAUUAAUGUGAGAUGCAGAUAACUUCGUUUACGGAAUGAUUAGCAAAAAUUGUGCCAGCGGCUGCGGUUAUACAAUUAAUCAUUGUUAUUUUUAUUGAGAUAUAUUGACAGUUUAUCAUAUUUAUGUAUUUUCUUUAAAUGGUGAUUUAUAAAUGUCGGCCUCUUUAGUGAAAGUGUUGGUUAUAAUAUGAAUAUUAUUGGGUGAAAUCUUAAUGUUUGUUAUUGCUUAUAUUUGGGAUUAAGGAGGAGAAAAGAUGGUCUUACUGGAUUAUAUGAAAUUCAAUUAUUAGACUAGGAUUAGAUACCCUAUUAUUUUGAGUGUAAAGUUGUUCUCUUAGUAUUAUUAGUUAUGGUCUUUAAAUUAAAAGAAUUUGACGGUAAUUUAGUCGCUUCAGAGGAACCUGUCCUUUAAUCGAUGUUCCACGUUGAAUUUAACCUUGAUUAUUAUAUAAUGUUUGUAUAUCUCUGUCUAUAGAAUGUUUUAUUAGAAUUAUUUAUUUUCUUAAAUUUUUAUUUAGAUUUAUGUCAGGUCAAGGUGCAGCAAUAUUGGGGGUUGAGAUGGGUUACAUUUAUGGUUUAAUUUUGGAUUAUUGGGUAAUGUAUUAUGCCCUUGAAAUUGGAUUUGAUAGUAAUAUUAAUUAUAUAUUUAAUGUGAUAUUGUGCUCUGAAUUAAGUACACAUCGCCCGUCGCUCUCACCAUUAAGGUGAGAUAAGUCGUAACAAAGUAGGUUUAUCGGAAGAUGAGCCUGGAAUUAUA
RNAcentral lists this ribosomal RNA (817 nucleotides) under Scoparipes salvazai. RNAcentral's name for it is "12S ribosomal RNA". Lineage: Eukaryota; Metazoa; Arthropoda; Insecta; Hemiptera; Cydnidae. The record is from RNAcentral.